This is a long non-coding RNA of Dryobates pubescens (Downy woodpecker), 693 nucleotides long. RefSeq lists it as uncharacterized. The transcript is spliced from 3 exons. Lineage: Eukaryota; Metazoa; Chordata; Aves; Piciformes; Picidae. The record is from RefSeq and is a predicted model, not a curated record.
GCUGUGUCUGGCUGUAACAAGGGGAAUGUGUCUCCACAUCGCCAUCACCCAGCAUGGCACCGCUCAGAGCAGCAACAUGGCCUCAUUGGUCUUGACUAUGAGGUGAAACCCAGGGUUCCCUGUUUGAGCAGGUUGCAGUGGGAUUGGCAGGGCCUUUGCUGGUGGCAUGAGAUCCCUUCCCUCAUAUGCUACCUCUUUCCAGUCCUGAGGAGUGAGGCUGGAUGGCUUGCCCAAGAAACCUUGGAGGAAGUGCUUCAUAGCCCCCCCAGAACUCACCAUUUCAGCAGCACCAGGUCUGUACAUUCAGGAGUGAUAGUGAAAACGUAUAUACAAGUGGGAUCCAGCAUCCGUGGGUGAGAUGAAGAUGGAAAAGAAACAAAACCGAAGAGCAAGGUGUAUGACUGUAUAAUCAUGGACUCCUGUGGGGGAUGGAUAGUAGACACCAGUGCUGGUCUGCCCAGACACUGUCCCUAUCCCUUGGGGCAGCAUUGCAGAACCCCUGGCAUGUUGUGUCCUGAGGAGGUAGAUGGCAGAUGGGAAGUGGCUGCUUUUCCUCCUCUCUUUCUCAGAAUUGCUGAUCUGUGCCCUGGCAUCUUUCUGGGCUGUUUGUCUUCCUGCUGGUGCCAGGUAUGUGGCCACACCCCUUGCCCCACAGAUGCUGGAGGUGGGCAUGCUGGGAACUAGGUGGGGGGG